UAGGGAAUAUUAGUAAUGGGCGAAAGCCUGAACUAGCAACGCCGCGUGUGCGAAGAAGGCCUUCGGGUUGUAAAGCACUUUUUGAGAGGAUGAGGAAGGACGGUACUCUCAGAAUAAGUCUCGGCUAACUACGUGCCAGCAGCCGCGGUAACACGUAGGAGGCAAACGUUACCCGGAUUUACUGGGCGUAAAGCGCGUGUAGGUGGUUUGGUAAGUAGGGCGUGAAAGCUCCUGGCUCAACUGGGAGAGGACGUUCUAAACUGCCGAGCUUGAGGAUGGUAGAGGGAGGUGGAAUUCCGGGUGUAGCGGUGGAAUGCGCAGAUAUCCGGAGGAACACCAGUGGCGAAGGCGGCCUCCUGGACCACUCCUGACACUCAGACGCGAAAGCUAGGGUAGCAAACGGG
This 404-nucleotide ribosomal RNA is filed under the name uncultured bacterium. RNAcentral describes it as "bacterial SSU rRNA". It matches the Rfam family "Bacterial small subunit ribosomal RNA", at positions 355 to 776 of the family's 1533-position model. The record is from RNAcentral.